RNAcentral lists this long non-coding RNA (245 nucleotides) under Lathyrus oleraceus (garden pea). RNAcentral describes it as "Pisum sativum (pea) long non-coding RNA (PSAT_LNC037946)". The record is from RNAcentral. Lineage: Eukaryota; Viridiplantae; Streptophyta; Magnoliopsida; Fabales; Fabaceae.
AAAAAUUAAAAGAAGUUGACGUUUGAACAAUUUAAAAAAAUGCAAGAUUAUGAAAGUGAGAAAUAAAAUAUUCAAAACAAUUUUUUAGUAUGAUUUAAAAUGAAUAAAAUGAUUUUCUUAUAUAACGAGGUAUCUAAAUUAUUUGAGACUAAUGAAUAUUUUCAAUUAACACAAGCACAUUUACUUUUUCUGAUAAUUAAACAAUUUUGUUUUCAAAUUCAUCAUAAUAUUUACACAAAUUGGUU